CUCGGUGAAUUUGGGAAUGCAUAACAGUUUUUCAAGAGAAGGAACUUAAUGAGCUCUUCUUUAUUUUGUUGGGUACUUAUUUAAUAGGUACUCACAAGUUCAGUAGUUUUACUGAGCUCAUCAAGUUCAGUAGUUGGGUUUUACUAACAAGCAACAACUCUUGAAUUGUCUGCGCUAUACCUCACAAACUCCUCUAGAGUUUGCAACCACUCACUUGUAAUCUUUUGAUCAUAAAAGUAUUCAGAUGCGCAAAAG
Molecule: unclassified non-coding RNA, 255 nt
Filed under: Hevea brasiliensis (rubber tree)
Lineage: Eukaryota; Viridiplantae; Streptophyta; Magnoliopsida; Malpighiales; Euphorbiaceae
Source: RNAcentral